This 202-nucleotide ribosomal RNA is filed under the name uncultured bacterium. RNAcentral's name for it is "partial 16S ribosomal RNA". It matches the Rfam family "Bacterial small subunit ribosomal RNA", at positions 524 to 724 of the family's 1533-position model. The record is from RNAcentral.
UACGUAGGGGGGCAAGCGUUGUCCGGAUUUAUUGGGCGUAAAGAGCGUGUAGGCGGCCAUACAGGUCAGCUGUGAAAACUCGAGGCUCAACCUCGAGACGUCGGUUGAAACCGUAUGGCUAGAGUCCGGAAGAGGAGAGUGGAAUUCCCGGUGUAGCGGUGAAAUGCGCAGAUAUCGGGAAGAACACCCGUGGCGAAGGCGG